GGGCUCUAGCUCAGUGGUAGAACAUAGGCUUUGCAUACAAAAGGUCCCAGGUUCAGUUCCUGGCAUCUCCU
This is a non-coding RNA of Podarcis lilfordi (Lilford's wall lizard), 71 nucleotides long. The record is from the annotation of a GenBank genome assembly. Lineage: Eukaryota; Metazoa; Chordata; Lepidosauria; Squamata; Lacertidae.